Pyrus x bretschneideri (Chinese white pear) is the source of this 190-nucleotide long non-coding RNA. RefSeq lists it as uncharacterized. NCBI's taxonomy places the organism in Eukaryota, Viridiplantae, Streptophyta, Magnoliopsida, Rosales, Rosaceae. The record is from RefSeq and is a predicted model, not a curated record. The transcript is spliced from 2 exons.
CUUCUCCAGCUCCUCCAGCUCCUCCUCGUCCACUCACACCUCAUACAUCCAAUGCAAUGGUUCCCGUUAAUCCAAGGCCUAAAAAUAGUGCCGGGAGGAAAGCAUUGAAGACGAUAGAAAUGCUACUGGCCCUGGGAAAUAUCUUUGCUGCCACUCAGUGCACCAUCAUGUGAAGAUCUUCUACCAAUUA